UUUAUGGAGAGUUUGAUCCUGGCUCAGGACGAACGCUGGCGGCGUGCCUAAUACAUGCAAGUCGAGCGAACAGAAAAGGAGCUUGCUCCUUUGACGUUAGCGGCGGACGGGUGAGUAACACGUGGGCAACCUACCCUAUAGUUUGGGAUAACUCCGGGAAACCGGGGCUAAUACCGAAUAAUCUCUUUUGCUUCAUGGUGAAAGACUGAAAGACGGUUUCGGCUGUCGCUAUAGGAUGGACCCGCGUCGCAUUAGCUAGUUGGUGAGGUAACGGCUCACCAAGGCGACGAUGCGUAGCCGACCUGAGAGGGUGAUCGGCCACACUGGGACUGAGACACGG
RNAcentral lists this ribosomal RNA (340 nucleotides) under Streptococcus salivarius. RNAcentral's name for it is "bacterial SSU rRNA". It matches the Rfam family "Bacterial small subunit ribosomal RNA", at positions 1 to 329 of the family's 1533-position model. The record is from RNAcentral. Lineage: Bacteria; Bacillati; Bacillota; Bacilli; Lactobacillales; Streptococcaceae.